RNAcentral lists this ribosomal RNA (440 nucleotides) under uncultured bacterium. RNAcentral describes it as "partial 16S ribosomal RNA". It matches the Rfam family "Bacterial small subunit ribosomal RNA", at positions 338 to 795 of the family's 1533-position model. The record is from RNAcentral.
CCUACGGGUGGCAGCAGUGGGGAAUAUUGGACAAUGGGGGAAAGCCUGAUGCAGCAAUGCCGCGUGAGGGAAGAAGGCAUUCGUUAUGUAAAGCUCUAUGAGCAGGGAAGAAAAUGACGGUACAUGAGUAAGACACGCCGGCUAACUACGUGCGAGCAGCCGCGGUAAUACGGGGGGGGCAAGCGUUAUCCGGAUUUACUGGGUGUAAAGGGAGCGUAGACGGGAGGGCAAGUCUGGAGUGAAAGGCGGGGGCUCAACCCCCGGACUGCACUUGAAACUGUACGGCUGGAGUGCAGGAGAGGCAGGUGGAAUUCCUAGUGUAGCGGUGAAAUGCGUAGAUAUAAGGAGGAACACCAGUGGCGAAGGCGGUUUACUGGACUGUAACUGACGUUGAGGCUCGAAAGCGUGGGGAGCAAACAGGAUUAGAUACCCCAGUAGUC